Long non-coding RNA from Drosophila busckii, 76 nucleotides. It matches the Rfam family "Yellow-achaete intergenic RNA conserved region 1". Lineage: Eukaryota; Metazoa; Arthropoda; Insecta; Diptera; Drosophilidae. The record is from Rfam.
AAAAACUUGCUAAUUUUAUGUUAGAUGCGCGUUAAUUUCAUGCCUGCCAUUGAUUGCUUCCGUUGCGCCACAAAAC